GAGCUGGCUGGGACACCCAGAGGAGGACUCCAUGGAGGGAAGCAAGCCAAAGCCUGCCAUUACCACCCUGGCUUUUGGUAGCUGUCUUUGGGAGGCAGAAGAGUCAAGAAACUUCCCUGCUGCCCCAGAGACAUGUGUGCCACCAGGAGAGCACACUCAGAUGGUACAGAAUCCAAGGACUAUGUGUCACAUGCAGAGAAAUUGGUACCAAAGUUUGAGUGAGAGGCUGGAGAUGUGAUGGGGAAGAAUGCUAUUGGGUAUCUGAUGACGAUAAUAAAGAUGAUGGUGAUGACUUUGAUGUGGACCAAGUGAGCCAAAGUUCCUGCAACAGUGACAUGGAGCAAGAAUUGACUGAUACAGACAGAGAAUGCAGACCUACUUGAUUCAGAUGACAAAGAAAACAGCAAUGUGAGUACAUAUUUCACUAGUCAAAAUAUUGUAAAAUGACCAUGCAACCA
RNAcentral lists this long non-coding RNA (458 nucleotides) under Chinchilla lanigera (long-tailed chinchilla). Its description in RNAcentral is "lncRNA (ENSCLAG00000025878.1)". The record is from RNAcentral. Lineage: Eukaryota; Metazoa; Chordata; Mammalia; Rodentia; Chinchillidae.